RNAcentral lists this ribosomal RNA (466 nucleotides) under uncultured bacterium. Its description in RNAcentral is "partial 16S ribosomal RNA". It matches the Rfam family "Bacterial small subunit ribosomal RNA", at positions 28 to 507 of the family's 1533-position model. The record is from RNAcentral.
GAUGAACGCUGGCGGCGUGCUUAACACAUGCAAGUCGAACGAUGAAGCCCAGCUUGCUGGGUGGAUUAGUGGCGAACGGGUGAGUAACACGUGAGUAACCUGCCCUUAACUCUGGGAUAAGCCUGGGAAACUGGGUCUAAUACCGGAUAGGAGCGUCCACCGCAUGGUGGGUGUUGGAAAGAUUUAUCGGUUUUGGAUGGACUCGCGGCCUAUCAGCUUGUUGGUGAGGUAAUGGCUCACCAAGGCGACGACGGGUAGCCGGCCUGAGAGGGUGACCGGCCACACUGGGACUGAGACACGGCCCAGACUCCUACGGGAGGCAGCAGUGGGGAAUAUUGCGCAAUGGGCGAAAGCCUGAUGCAGCGACGCCGCGUGAGGGAUGACGGCCUUCGGGUUGUAAACCUCUUUCAGUAGGGAAGAAGCGAAAGUGACGGUACCUGCAGAAGAAGCACCGGCUAACUACGUG